Molecule: ribosomal RNA, 442 nt
Filed under: uncultured bacterium
Lineage: Bacteria
Description: partial 16S ribosomal RNA
Rfam family: Bacterial small subunit ribosomal RNA
Source: RNAcentral
CCUACGGGAGGCAGCAGUGGGGAAUAUUGGGCAAUGGGCGCAAGCCUGACCCAGCAACGCCGCGUGAAGGAAGAAGGCUUUCGGGUUGUAAACUUCUUUUAAGAGGGACGAGCAGAAGACGGUACCUCUUGAAUAAGCCACGGCUAACUACGUGCCAGCAGCCGCGGUAAUACGUAGGUGGCAAGCGUUGUCCGGAUUUACUGGGUGUAAAGGGCGUGUAGCCGGGUUGACAAGUCAGAUGUGAAAUUCCGGGGCGCAACCCCGGACCUGCAUUUGAAACUGUUGGUCUUGAGUAUCGGAGAGGCGGGCGGAAUUCCUGGUGUAGCGGUGAAAUGCGUAGAUAUCAGGAGGAACACCAGUGGCGAAGGCGGCCUGCUGGACGACAACUGACGGUGAGGCGCGAAAGCGUGGGGAGCAAACAGGAUUAGAUACCCCAGUAGUC